GAACGGUUCCUUCGGGGACAGUGGCAGACGGGUGAGUAACGCGUGGGAACGUGCCCUUCGGUUCGGAAUAACUCAGGGAAACUUGAGCUAAUACCGGAUACGUCCGAGAGGAGAAAGAUUUAUCGCCGAAGGAUCGGCCCGCGUCUGAUUAGCUAGUUGGUGUGGUAACGGCGCACCAAGGCGACGAUCAGUAGCUGGUCUGAGAGGAUGAUCAGCCACACUGGGACUGAGACACGGCCCAGACUCCUACGGGAGGCAGCAGUGGGGAAUAUUGGACAAUGGGCGCAAGCCUGAUCCAGCCAUGCCGCGUGAGUGAUGAAGGCCCUAGGGUUGUAAAGCUCUUUUAUCCGGGACGAUAAUGACGGUACCGGAAGAAUAAGCCCCGGCUAACUUCGUGCCAGCAGCCGCGGUAAUACGAAGGGGGCUAGCGUUGCUCGGAAUCACUGGGCGUAAAGGGCGCGUAGGCGGACGUUUAGGUCAGGGGUGAAAUCCCGGGGCUCAACCUCGGAAUUGCCUUUGAUACUGGAUGUCUCGAGACCGGAAGAGGUAAGUGGAACUGCGAGUGUAGAGGUGAAAUUCGUAGAUAU
This 587-nucleotide ribosomal RNA is filed under the name uncultured bacterium. RNAcentral describes it as "bacterial SSU rRNA". It matches the Rfam family "Bacterial small subunit ribosomal RNA", at positions 64 to 697 of the family's 1533-position model. The record is from RNAcentral.